UACGUAGGUGGCAAGCGUUGUCCGGAAUUAUUGGGCGUAAAGGGUACGUAGGCGGAUAAGCAAGUUAGAAGUGAAAUCCUAUAGCUCAACUAUAGUAAGCUUUUAAAACUGCUCAUCUUGAGGUAUGGAAGGGAAAGUGGAAUUCCUAGUGUAGCGGUGAAAUGCGCAGAGAUUAGGAGGAACACCAGUGGCGAAGGCGGCUUUUUGGCCUGUAACUGACACUGAGGCGCGAAAGCGUGGGGAGCAAACAGG
This 252-nucleotide ribosomal RNA is filed under the name uncultured bacterium. Its description in RNAcentral is "partial 16S ribosomal RNA". It matches the Rfam family "Bacterial small subunit ribosomal RNA", at positions 524 to 776 of the family's 1533-position model. The record is from RNAcentral.